GACGAACGCUGGCGGCGCGCCUAACACAUGCAAGUCGAGCGGGAAACUUUUUAAGGAUUCUUCGGAUGAAUUAAAAAGUGGAGAGCGGCGGACGGGUGAGUAACGCGUGAGAAACCUGCCCUAUACAGGGGGAUAGCCAUUGGAAACGAUGAUUAAUACCCCAUAUGACCACAGUAUCGCAUGAUACAGCGGUGAAAACUCCGGUGGUAUAGGAUGGUCUCGCGUCUGAUUAGCUAGUUGGUGGGGUAACGGCCUACCAAGGCGACGAUCAGUAGCCGGCCUGAGAGGGUGACCGGCCACACUGGAACUGAGACACGGUCCAGACUCCUACGGGAGGCAGCAGUGGGGAAUAUUGCACAAUGGGCGAAAGCCUGAUGCAGCGACGCCGCGUGAACGAUGAAAGCUUUCGAGUCGUAAAGUUCUGUUCUUGGGGAAGAUAACGACGGUACCCAAGGAGAAAGCACCGGCUAAAUACGUGCCAGCAGCCGCGGUAAUACGUAUGGUGCAAGCGUUGUCCGGAAUUACUGGGCGUAAAGAGUUCGUAGGCGGCUAGAUUAGUCAGAAGUGAAAGGCUACGGCUCACCCGUAGUAAGCUUUUUGAAACUGUCUAACUUGAGUACUGGAA
Molecule: ribosomal RNA, 625 nt
Filed under: uncultured bacterium
Lineage: Bacteria
Description: bacterial SSU rRNA
Rfam family: Bacterial small subunit ribosomal RNA
Source: RNAcentral